UAGAGAUCAUUUUAGCAUUUGCCGUACA
RNAcentral lists this non-coding RNA (28 nucleotides) under Mus musculus (house mouse). Lineage: Eukaryota; Metazoa; Chordata; Mammalia; Rodentia; Muridae. The record is from RNAcentral.